This 169-nucleotide RNase P RNA is filed under the name Candidatus Levilactobacillus faecigallinarum. RNAcentral describes it as "partial RNase P RNA component class B". It matches the Rfam family "Bacterial RNase P class B", at positions 205 to 365 of the family's 365-position model. Rfam says of the family: Ribonuclease P (RNase P) is a ubiquitous endoribonuclease, found in archaea, bacteria and eukarya as well as chloroplasts and mitochondria. Its best characterised activity is the generation of mature 5'-ends of tRNAs by cleaving the 5'-leader elements of precursor-tRNAs. The record is from RNAcentral. Lineage: Bacteria; Bacillati; Bacillota; Bacilli; Lactobacillales; Lactobacillaceae.
UCGGUGGAACGCGGUAAACCCCUCGAGCGGGAAACCCAAACUUUGGUAGGGGAGCUUCACGUAAGGAAUCGAACGAUGCGUGGGGCAGACAGAGAUGUCUGAGAUAGAUGAUUACCGCUGUAUGCUAGCUGCCUGAGUUAGCAUAGAGUACAAAACAUGGCUUACAGGG